GACGACGCUGGCGGCGUGGAUUAGGCAUGCAAGUCGAACGGUAUCAUCCUUUCGGGGGUGAGAGAGUGGCGAACUGGUGAGUAACACGUAGGUUAUCUACCCUCAAGACGGGGACAACCCAGGGAAACUUGGGCUAAUACCGGAUGUGAGCAACUUUUAGUUGUUUGAAAGGUGGCGUAAGCUGUCGCUUGGGGAUGAGCCUGCGUCCUAUUAGUUAGUUGGUGAGGUAACGGCUCACCUAGGCAAUGAUAGGUAGGCGGCCUUAACGGGUGGUCGCCCACACUGGGAUUGAGAUACGGCCUAGACUCCUACGGGAGGCAGCAGUCGAGAAUAGUCUACAAUGGUCGGAAGACUGAUAGUGCGACGCCGCGUGAACGAUGAAUCCCUUCGGGGUGUAAAGUUCUUUUAUAUGUGAGCAGUGCUUCUUAUAUUAACAGUAUGGGGAGAGAGAUAUUAGCAUAUGAAUAAGCAACGGCUAACUCCGUG
Molecule: ribosomal RNA, 486 nt
Filed under: uncultured bacterium
Lineage: Bacteria
Description: bacterial SSU rRNA
Rfam family: Bacterial small subunit ribosomal RNA
Source: RNAcentral